This 778-nucleotide long non-coding RNA is filed under the name Trifolium pratense (red clover). RNAcentral describes it as "long non-coding RNA (TPRA_LNC012765)". Lineage: Eukaryota; Viridiplantae; Streptophyta; Magnoliopsida; Fabales; Fabaceae. The record is from RNAcentral.
CUUCUAAUCAGCUUGAUCCAAUGCAAGGUGGAUUUUUUGUUCUGAAUUUUUUCCUUCAUAGUUGUCAAAUCCUAAGUCCUAACUGUAUGCAUAUCCCUUAAGCUAUUGUUUCCUACACAGUAUUAUCUUGUUGAAGUUGUCAUUAGUUAAUGUGUGUCCGGUCAUAUUCUUCUUUAAUGGUUCGGUUACUUUUUAUUUCAUUUUAUUUGGUGCAUCCUUUCUUUUAAAUAUUCCACUUGGUGCGAUAUGUACAUACAGAUAAUGACUUGUCUAUCAUUCAUCUUAAAAGCAUGAAGUUCAUUGAUGUGGUUUCUUGUGUUUGGUGUAACCUCCCUAAAUACUUAGAAAACAAUAAUGUGACCUGUAUCUCCUGUUGUUGACAACCUGCUGAAGACCAGAUGUUUAGUAAAACUACGACGAUUUUGAAGAUUUGAAUUUUCUUAAAAGAUAAUUAUUAUGUGUUUGGCCUAUUUUUUUAUGCAAAAAAUAACCCUUUUUAUUGUUGUCUAAUCAUUACCUCUGUUUUAUUUUAUUUUUCAAUUUUUAAAGAUUGAUAUGCUCAUAUUAGUUGUCUAAUCUUUAAACUUUCUUUCUGAAGGGAAAUAAUGGUAACUUUUGGGAUUUUAUGACUUCCAAAUUCACAAGUCCCGUGAUGAAUCAAGGUGUGCUAAUUAGACUCGGAUGAUCUUCUGCCGCUACUACCUGAUAUGAGUCCUUUCGGUCAUGAUAUAAUUUUAUCCAGUUGGCGAGCUCAAUUGAGUAAUAAUGGUUCAAACCC